UGCCGUUGACAAAACGGAGGAAGGUGGGGAUGACGUCAAAUCAUCAUGCCCCUUAUGUUCUGGGCUACACACGUGCUACAAUGGCCGGUACAGACGGACGCAAAGCCGCGAGGCGGAGCAAAUCCGAAAAAGCCGGUCUCAGUUCGGAUUGCAGGCUGCAAUUCGCCUGCAUGAAGUCGGAACCGCUAGUAAUCGCGGAUCAGCAUGCCGCGGUGAAUACGUUCCCGGGCCUU
Molecule: ribosomal RNA, 233 nt
Filed under: uncultured Peptococcaceae bacterium
Lineage: Bacteria; Bacillati; Bacillota; Clostridia; Eubacteriales; Peptococcaceae
Description: partial 16S ribosomal RNA
Rfam family: Bacterial small subunit ribosomal RNA
Source: RNAcentral